RNAcentral lists this ribosomal RNA (601 nucleotides) under Streptomyces globisporus. Its description in RNAcentral is "bacterial SSU rRNA". It matches the Rfam family "Bacterial small subunit ribosomal RNA", at positions 76 to 693 of the family's 1533-position model. The record is from RNAcentral. Lineage: Bacteria; Bacillati; Actinomycetota; Actinomycetes; Kitasatosporales; Streptomycetaceae.
CCCUUCGGGGUGGAUUAGUGGCGAACGGGUGAGUAACACGUGGGCAAUCUGCCCUUCACUCUGGGACAAGCCCUGGAAACGGGGUCUAAUACCGGAUAACACUCUGUCCCGCAUGGGACGGGGUUGAAAGCUCCGGCGGUGAAGGAUGAGCCCGCGGCCUAUCAGCUUGUUGGUGGGGUAAUGGCCUACCAAGGCGACGACGGGUAGCCGGCCUGAGAGGGCGACCGGCCACACUGGGACUGAGACACGGCCCAGACUCCUACGGGAGGCAGCAGUGGGGAAUAUUGCACAAUGGGCGAAAGCCUGAUGCAGCGACGCCGCGUGAGGGAUGACGGCCUUCGGGUUGUAAACCUCUUUCAGCAGGGAAGAAGCGAAAGUGACGGUACCUGCAGAAGAAGCGCCGGCUAACUACGUGCCAGCAGCCGCGGUAAUACGUAGGGCGCAAGCGUUGUCCGGAAUUAUUGGGCGUAAAGAGCUCGUAGGCGGCUUGUCACGUCGGAUGUGAAAGCCCGGGGCUUAACCCCGGGUCUGCAUUCGAUACGGGCUAGCUAGAGUGUGGUAGGGGAGAUCGGAAUUCCUGGUGUAGCGGUGAAAUGCGCAG